This 525-nucleotide ribosomal RNA is filed under the name Rhodotorula sp. 1e. RNAcentral describes it as "SSU rRNA". It matches the Rfam family "Eukaryotic small subunit ribosomal RNA", at positions 1197 to 1743 of the family's 1831-position model. The record is from RNAcentral. Lineage: Eukaryota; Fungi; Basidiomycota; Microbotryomycetes; Sporidiobolales; Sporidiobolaceae.
GACUCAACACGGGGAAACUACACCAGGUCCAGACACAAUAAGGAUUGACAGAUUGAUAGCUCUUUCUUGAUCUUGUGGUUGGUGGUGCAUGGCCGUUUCUUAGUUGGUGGAGUGAUUUGUCUGGUUAAUUCCGAUAACGAACGAGACCUUAACCUGCUAAAUAGACCAGCCGACUUUGGUUAGCUGCUGUCUUCUUAGAGGGACUAUCAGCGUUUAGUGAUGGAAGUUUGAGGCAAUAACAGGUCUGUGAUGCCCUUAGAUGUUCUGGGCCGCACGCGCGCUACACUGACAGAGCCAGCGAGUCUACCACCUUUGCCGGAAGGCAUGGGUAAUCUUGUGAAACUCUGUCGUGAUGGGGAUAGAACAUUGCAAUUAUUGUUCUUCAACGAGGAAUACCUAGUAAGCGUGAUUCAUCAGAUCGCGUUGAUUACGUCCUGCCUUUGUACACACCGCCGUCGCUACUACCGAUUGAAUGGCUUAGUGAGGCCUCCGGAUUGGCUAUUGGGAGCUCGCGAGAGCACCUGA